RNAcentral lists this ribosomal RNA (460 nucleotides) under uncultured bacterium. Its description in RNAcentral is "partial 16S ribosomal RNA". It matches the Rfam family "Bacterial small subunit ribosomal RNA", at positions 338 to 795 of the family's 1533-position model. The record is from RNAcentral.
CCUACGGGAGGCAGCAGUGAGGAAUAUUGGUCAAUGGGCGGAAGCCUGAACCAGCCAAGUCGCGUGAGGGAAGACGGUCCUAUGGGUUGUAAACCUCUUUUGGCAGGGAGCAACGCCGGCCACGCGUACCCGGACUGAGAGUACCUGCAGAAAAAGCAUCGGCUAACUCCGUGCCAGCAGCCGCGGUAAUACGGAGGAUGCGAGCGUUAUCCGGAUUUAUUGGGUUUAAAGGGUGCGUAGGCGGAAUGCCAAGUCAGCGGUAAAAUGGCGGGGCUCAACCCCGCCCGGCCGUUGAAACUGGGGAUCUUGAGUGGGCGAGAAGUAUGCGGAAUGCGUGGUGUAGCGGUGAAAUGCAUAGAUAUCACGCAGAACUCCGAUUGCGAAGGCAGCAUACCGGCGCCCGACUGACGCUGAGGCACGAAAGCGUGGGGAUCGAACAGGAUUAGAUACCCUUGUAGUC